RNAcentral lists this transfer RNA (76 nucleotides) under Rhodospirillaceae bacterium. Its description in RNAcentral is "tRNA-Ala". It matches the Rfam family "tRNA". Rfam says of the family: Transfer RNA (tRNA) molecules are approximately 80 nucleotides in length. Lineage: Bacteria; Pseudomonadati; Pseudomonadota; Alphaproteobacteria; Rhodospirillales; Rhodospirillaceae. The record is from RNAcentral.
GGGGUCGUAGCUCAGCUGGGAGAGCGCUAGCUUUGCAAGCUAGAGGUCGUCGGUUCGAGCCCGAUCGACUCCACCA